This 125-nucleotide microRNA precursor is filed under the name Hordeum vulgare. RNAcentral describes it as "microRNA MIR1122". It matches the Rfam family "MIR1120/MIR1122 microRNA precursor family". Lineage: Eukaryota; Viridiplantae; Streptophyta; Magnoliopsida; Poales; Poaceae. The record is from RNAcentral.
UAAAUACUUCAUCUGUCCGAAAAUACUUGUCGUAGUAAUGGGUGCAUGUGGAUGUUUUUUAGUUCUAGAUAUAUCCAUUUAUAUCCAUUUUUGUGACAAGUAAUUCCGGACGGAGGGAGUAUAAG